This 893-nucleotide ribosomal RNA is filed under the name uncultured marine group I thaumarchaeote. RNAcentral describes it as "bacterial SSU rRNA". It matches the Rfam family "Archaeal small subunit ribosomal RNA", at positions 20 to 918 of the family's 1478-position model. The record is from RNAcentral. Lineage: Archaea; Thermoproteati; Nitrososphaerota.
GACCUGACUGCUAUCGGAUUGAUACUAAGCCAUGCGAGUCUUUGCAGUAAUGCAAGGCAUACGGCUCAGUAACACGUAGUCAACUUACCCUAUGGACGAGGAUAAUCUCGGGAAACUGAGCAUAAUACUCGAUAGAUCAUAAUGCCUGGAAUGGUUUAUGGUUGAAACGAUUCGUCGCCAUAGGAUAGGACCGCGGCCUAUCAGCUUGUUGGUGAGGUAAUGGCCCACCAAGGCGAUUACAGGUACGGGCUCUGAGAGGAGAAGCCCGGAGAUGGGUACUGAGACAAGGACCCAGGCCCUAUGGGGCGCAGCAGGCGAGAAAACUUUGCAAUGUGCGAAAGCACGACAAGGUUAAUCCGAGUGAUUUCUGCUAAAGAAAUCUUUUGCAAGUCAUAAAACCACUAGUGAAUAAGGGGUGGGCAAGUUCUGGUGUCAGCCGCCGCGGUAAAACCAGCACCUCAAGUGGUCAGGAGGAUUAUUGGGCCUAAAGCAUCCGUAGCCGGCUCUGUAAGUUUUCGGUUAAAUCCAUGUGCUCAACGCAUGGGCUGUCGAAAAUACUGCAUAGCUAGGGAGUGGGAGAAGUAGACGGUACUCGGUAGGAAGGGGGUAAAAUCCUUUGAUCUAUCGAUGACCACCUGUGGCGAAGGCGGUCUACCAGAACACGUUCGACGGUGAGGGAUGAAAGCUGGGGGAGCAAACCGGAUUAGAUACCCGGGUAGUCCCAGCUGUAAACGAUGCAGACUCGAUGAUGCAUUGGCAUAUAGCCAGUGCAGUGUCGCAGGGAAGCCGUUAAGUCUGCCGCCUGGGAAGUACGUACGCAAGUAUGAAACUUAAAGGAAUUGGCGGGGGAGCACCACAAGGGGUGAAGCCUGCGGUUCAAUUGGAUUCAACGC